Long non-coding RNA from Acinonyx jubatus (cheetah), 1346 nucleotides. RefSeq lists it as uncharacterized. NCBI's taxonomy places the organism in Eukaryota, Metazoa, Chordata, Mammalia, Carnivora, Felidae. The transcript has 3 exons. The record is from RefSeq and is a predicted model, not a curated record.
AUUAAGCUCUUCAAUGUCAUAUAAUUAGCAAGUGGAAGAACUGGGAUUCCAUCUCAAGGCUGUUUCUGAAGUUAAUGUCCUCUCCAUAGUGCCCUGUUUCAUUCUAUUUGAACUUGGGUAUGAAUUUGAAUAUCUACAUUCGAGGAAUAUUACUGUUUCUAAUAUAUGUGUAUAUAUAUAGCCUCUGACAUGUCCUAUAUAAAAUACUAUACCAUAAAUUUUCAUACCUCACUCCUCUGUGCUGGUGGACAGGCCAAAGGGAUUUUGAAUGGAAGCUACCAUCUCAAACAUUCACUUCAAGAAAGAAAUAGGAGGAAGAGAAGAAGCAGGAGAGGAAGGAAAGUAUAAUAAAGAGAAAGAUUAACUUAUAGAGUAGGGAUUUUGGGGCUAUGAUCUUGGAAGAAAAACAGAGCAUAGAUUAUUUAAACCCACAUUUGUUUUACUGAGAAAGUAACAGAGAAAAACCCACUGAAUGCAUGUUAACUGCUCAAUACUUGUGUGCUGAAUGCAAAUUAAUUACUAAAACCAUCUGGUAAUCAUUCGAAUCUGGCAGUAAAAGUGAUGAGUGAAGCAUUUAUCAUCACUCUGAAGGCACAUUUUUCUAAUGGAUCUUUUACUCAAGUUUUAUGUUUCUGUUGUGAAUUUAAGAGUUUUUUCUAGCCACAUAGUGCUUCCAACUUCUAUUUGUAAUUAGGAUGAUUCUAAUUAUGUAGUGGUGGCACCAGGAAUAAUAUUGCAAUUGGCCUUCAUUGAUCAAUAGAGCAUCCACCUCUUAACUCACAAAAUAAUGCAAACUUUGAUUAAAUUAGAGAAAACCAAUGAACACACUUUUAUUGUAAGGAAGCACCCUUUACCUGCUUCAGAAUAUGCAUAGAAGUAUGUGUGUGUAUGUGUGUAUUUAUGUGUAUGUGUUUGUGUGUAGAUAUGUAUGCAUGUGGCUUUUGGAGCACAAAUUUAAUUUUCUGUUGUGUAUCAUUGCAGAGAUACCUAUCUAACCUUCACAAUAGUAUGCUGUUCAAAGGGCAUAAUCAAAAGAAGUAGCACCUUUGGUUUCAGGCUAACACCUUAAGUUUCAGGUGUACGAUAUAGUGAUUCAACAGUUCCAUAUAUUAUUCAGUGCUCAUCAAGGAGACUGUUUUAGGGAUCUUCAGGAUGAAUGAAAGCAAAAAUUACUCAAAGCAGGUCAAGAAAAAGAGAAUAACCAGAAGGAUUCAGGGAAGACGUACAGAACUCAAUCAUGGAAACACAAAGAAGGAGUUCCCUGCCUUCUAAUUUCUGCUUCUCCUUGUAUACCUGUACUGUUCCCAUGCUUGUUUCUUUUUUUCCUCCAGCUUUGUUGUGGUAUA